Molecule: ribosomal RNA, 468 nt
Filed under: uncultured bacterium
Lineage: Bacteria
Description: partial 16S ribosomal RNA
Rfam family: Bacterial small subunit ribosomal RNA
Source: RNAcentral
GACGAACGCUGGCGGCGUGCUUAACACAUGCAAGUCGAACGGAAAGGCCCUGCUUUUGUGGGGUGCUCGAGUGGCGAACGGGUGAGUAACACGUGAGUAACCUGCCCUUGACUUUGGGAUAACUUCAGGAAACUGGGGCUAAUACCGGAUAGGAGCUCCUGCUGCAUGGUGGGGGUUGGAAAGAUUCGGCGGUUGGGGAUGGACUCGCGGCUUAUCAGCUUGUUGGUGGGGUAGUGGCUUACCAAGGCUUUGACGGGUAGCCGGCCUGAGAGGGUGACCGGCCACAUUGGGACUGAGAUACGGCCCAGACUCCUACGGGAGGCAGUAGUGGGGAAUAUUGCACAAUGGGCGGAAGCCUGAUGCAGCAACGCCGCGUGCGGGAUGACGGCCUUCGAGUUGUAAACCGCUUUCGCCUGUGACGAAGCGUGAGUGACGGUAAUGGGUAAAGAAGCACCGGCUAACUACGUG